Lolium rigidum is the source of this 2058-nucleotide long non-coding RNA. RefSeq lists it as uncharacterized. The transcript is spliced from 5 exons. The record is from RefSeq and is a predicted model, not a curated record. NCBI's taxonomy places the organism in Eukaryota, Viridiplantae, Streptophyta, Magnoliopsida, Poales, Poaceae.
UUGGGUUAUCCUGGAAAUAAAUGACGAUUCCAAAACGAUCCAGAAAGGCCCGUGCUUCCCCCUUCUCCUACCUUCUUCUUCGCGAGCGGCCGGCGGGGCGAUUCGGCCACCAGGGGAGAGGCGGAUUUGCCGAGCCAUGGAUUUCCCGCUUGAUCCGGUUAGCACUUAGCAGUAUGCCUAUCUAUGCGCCUUAUCCAACUGAGGCAAGAGUGCUGAAUCUGCAAGGGGAGGACUCGGUCAGCAGCAACGCUGGGCCGGUGACGGCGGGUGCGGCCGUGCUUGGGAACCUGGCGGACAGGAGUGGUGUGGGCGAUGGAGCUAGCUGCCUAGCUGCAUGGCUGGCCUGGAGGUACCAUGAUUCCGCGGAAUCAAACCGGCAGGACAAUCCACAAACGCCCGUGUGGUGACGCACCGGUAGGCGCAGGUGUCGAGCCACGACGUCCCAUCUCGAUCUGUGUCCUCUCCAGUCUCCUCCUACCAGCCCUUGGUCUGGCCUGGCGAACCUUUCUUCCAGCUCUUAGUUUUGUGCAUCUGGAACUCGCGAAUAUGAUGGCGAAGGUCAACAGUAGUCCCACUGAGUGUCUUGAUUGGCACUUGUGUGAGGAGCAAAGGAAAACUCUGGUCAAGUAUCAUCUUUUUUUUUUUCAUCUGGAGCCGUGUCAGUUUGGGUACUGAUUGGGUGGGAUACGUGAGUCACUUUGGCCAUGAGGAUCUUACUUGUGCUGGCCUUUUAUGUUAGUAAAUUGCAGGGAUGGCAAUUAUGAGUGGAGGUCUCUCCGUUGGCUCUUACUCCUGAUGUUGAAAUUUUGGUGUAGAAGACAAGACUGCUGCUGAAUGAAUGUUGCAAGUCAGUCUUUCCAUUCAUUGAUGUCUUGCUUAUAACUAGCGCCUGAUUCUGUUUUCCCAUAUUUGUUCUUAUUUAUCCUUGUUGCCCGAUCCUGCAAGAUCUUGUCAAUUGAGUGUAUAUUUAGAAUUUGUGGGUCGGUAGGACUCGUGGUGAUCCUUGAACUGUUUUGCUCAGUGCCUAAAUGACCAACUGACUAGGUUUUGUUUGACUGUUCUAACAUUAUUAUACUCAGAUGUUUUGCAGUAGGACUAAUCAGCAGUGGACAUGUGGCUGUGCAUCACUUCUUAGUUUCACGCCUAACCUUGUCAAGCAAUUCUACUCCUACACUGAAACCUGUCAAGAAUCUAGUACACUGAAACCUGUCAAGAAUUCAAAAGCAAGAAGGUUGUGGAGAAAAACAAGACUUUAGCACACGUUCUGUAGACACUAGAAGAGAUGAUCACCAGUUAAUUGGAGCUUGAAACGCCUAGCAGGAACAUAAGCUGCAGGGUAUCCUCCGCUUCGGCGAGUUCGCGGACGUGAUGCAGCUCGUGUCUCUGGCGAGACCAAUGGCGAGGAGGUGAACCAAGGGCGAGCUUGAGAUCACUGACUGCUUCUAUUGCGGGAGUGGUGGCAAACAAGGGUGAGGAGGUGAACCAGGACACGGGCCAGCAUCGAGGAGGAAGGAGUGGUAGUCCAGCUGCAGGAACUCACCCAGAUCCUUACGCACGAGGAAGAGGGUGAGGAUCCGAGGAGGAACUCGUCCAUGUACUUGGGCAGAAAGAAGAACUGAUCGUUGCACAUGAGGACAAACUCGUCGAGAUCUUACGCAUGAGGACGAACUCGUCGAGAUCCUUGCGCAUGAGUUGAGCGGAGGAGGCCGGGGGCGGUUCCUCUAGCUGCGUCGGCCCAGGGAACCCAAGAGUCAGAGGUCCCUCGCCCUCCGCUAGGGAACUGCAGACGGCCGAGGCGGCGCCGAGGGAUGGCGGACGCAGAUGGAAGGCCAGGUUUUUGAUUUUAGAUUUGAAGGACUCAGAUGGAGAAGAAUUAGAUUGAUGAGGGUUUUUUUUUUUGUAAAUAUACAUUCCUCUAACCUCCCUGACAAUUUCCGUCGGACGGAGGGAAUAGUUACUAUCCGGUAGCAAAUCUAAGUAAGGUGCCUGGGUUCAGUUGACGAAGAACCUUAUGUGUGUCUACUCCUGUGAAGACAAUAAGUAAUGAAAAUGCUAGCU